GUAGGGAAUUUUCGUCAAUGGGCGCAAGCCUGAACGAGCAAUGCCGCGUGAGUGAAGAAGGUCUUCGGAUUGUAAACCUCUUUUGUCGGGGAGCAAAGAGACAUCGCGAUGUCAAAAGUGAGAGUACCCGAAGAAAAAGCAUCGGCUAACUCCGUGCCAGCAGCCGCGGUAAUACGGAGGAUGCGAGCGUUAUCCGGAUUUAUUGGGUUUAAAGGGUGCGUAGGCGGACUGUUAAGCCGGCGGUAAAAGCCCGGGGCUCAACCCCGGCAAGCCGUCGGAACUGGCAGACUAGAGUAGGCGAGAGGUACGCGGAAUGCGCGGUGUAGCGGUGAAAUGCAUAGAUAUCGCGCAGAACUCCGAUUGCGAAGGCAGCGUACUGGCGCCCGACUGACGCUGAGGCACGAAAGCGUGGGUAUCGAACAGGA
Molecule: ribosomal RNA, 425 nt
Filed under: uncultured bacterium
Lineage: Bacteria
Description: bacterial SSU rRNA
Rfam family: Bacterial small subunit ribosomal RNA
Source: RNAcentral